CGUAGGCUGCAACUCGCCUACAUGAAGUCGGAAUCGCUAGUAAUCGCGGAUCAGCAUGCCGCGGUGAAUACGUUCCCGGGCCUUGUACACACCGCCCGUCACACCAUGAGAGUUUGUAACACCCAAAGCCGGUGGGGUAACCUUUUGGAGCCAGCCGUCUAAGGUGGGACAGAUGAUUGGGGUGAAGUCGUAACAAGGUAAC
RNAcentral lists this ribosomal RNA (202 nucleotides) under uncultured bacterium. RNAcentral's name for it is "partial 16S ribosomal RNA". It matches the Rfam family "Bacterial small subunit ribosomal RNA", at positions 1299 to 1500 of the family's 1533-position model. The record is from RNAcentral.